CCCAAAUCCCGGCCCCGAUCCCAAUCCCGGGGUCCGGAGAGCUGCGGGACGGCCCCGGAGCAGCCCCUGGAUCCCUGGAACAGCCCCUGGAUCCCCGGAAUAGAUCCUGGAAUAGCCCCGGAACAGCUCCUGGAUCCCCGGAAUAGCUCCGGAGCAGCCCCUGGAUCCCUGGAAUAGGUCCUGGAUCUCCGGAAUAGAUCCUGGAAUAGCCCCGGAACAGCUCCUGGAUCCCUGGAAUAGCCCCGGAACGGCCCCUGGAUCCCUGGAAUAGCCCCUGGAUCCCCGGAAUAGAUCCUGGAACAACCCCUGGAUCCCUGGAAUAGCUCCGGAACGGCUCCUGGAUCCCCGGAAUAGCCCCGGAACGGCCCCUGGAUCCCUGGAACAGCUCCUGGAUCCCCGGAACGGCUCCUGGAUCCCCGGAAUAGCCCCGGAACAGCCCCUGGAUCCCCGGAAUAGCCCCGGAACAGCCCCUGGAUCCCCGGAAUAGCCCCGGAACAGCCCCUGGAUCCCUGGAAUAGCCCCGGAACAGCCCCUGGAUCCCCGGAAUAGCCCCUGGAUCCCCGGAAUAGAUCCUGGAAUAGCCCCGGAACAGCCCCUGGAUCCCCGGAAUAGCUCCGGAGCAGCCCCUGGAUCCCUGGAAUAGCUCCGGAACGGCUCCUGGAUCCCCGGAAUAGCCCCGGAACAGCCCCUGGAUCCCUGGAAUAGCUCCGGAACGGCUCCUGGAUCCCCGGAAUAGCCCCGGAACAGCCCCUGGAUCCCCGGAAUAGAUCCUGGAAUAGCCCCGGAACAGCCCCUGGAUCCCCGGAAUAGCCCCGGAACAGCCCCUGGAUCCCCGGAACAGCCCCUGGAUCCCUGCCCGGCGCUUUCCGGGCGUUUUUUCCUGCGAACAGGAGAAUCCCCGGAUUUCCGAACCCCCGGAUUUCCCAGUCUCUGGAUUUCCCAGCCCCCGCUCCAAGGAGUGUCCCGGGAGCCCGAGCAGACUCCGAGCCCUUCCCCGACCCAGCGCCACUUCCCGGGAAUCCCGGCCCGGGAGGAGCCGCCCGACGGAGCCGCUGCUGCUUUUCCUGGAUUUGGGUUUUUUCCGUGGAUUUUUUUGGCACCGGGGACACCGGGGUGUGGCCGAAGCCGAGACUUCUUCCUUCCUUCCUCAUCCUCCGGCUUCUCCUGGGAUUGUCCCGAGGGUUUUCCUGGGAAAAGGACCCCGGCAGGUCCCGCUCGCCCCUGGCAUGGAAUUGUCGCCGCCGCGCUGCCCCCGGCCCGGACCCUCCGCUGGAUUCCCGAGGCUGUCCUGAGGCCGGCCAGCUUG
This 1306-nucleotide long non-coding RNA is filed under the name Taeniopygia guttata (zebra finch). RNAcentral describes it as "lncRNA (ENSTGUG00000024898.1)". Lineage: Eukaryota; Metazoa; Chordata; Aves; Passeriformes; Estrildidae. The record is from RNAcentral.